This is a non-coding RNA of Podarcis lilfordi (Lilford's wall lizard), 66 nucleotides long. The record is from the annotation of a GenBank genome assembly. NCBI's taxonomy places the organism in Eukaryota, Metazoa, Chordata, Lepidosauria, Squamata, Lacertidae.
GCCAUAGCUCAGUGGCAAAGCAUCUGCCUUGAAUGUAGAAGGGCUGAGGUUCAAUCACUAUCACCU